GGUGUGUUGUGGACUCGUGGUGCUGGCUGCUGCUUUUGAGGCGGCCGGGAUCGGGCGGUGGGAAACGAGCGGAGCUGGCCCUGCCUCUGUCCGGCCGGCGCCGCAGUCGGCGCGGGCCGCGCCCGCUGCCGUAAACUGCCCCGAGCGCCUGCUGGGGCCGAGGGAGACGUCGGGGCCUGCACCUGGAGGGAGCCUGCCGCGCUGGCCCCAAGGAGCGGGCGUUGCCAUGGCGACAGCCUCUCCUGCUGCUGACGGGGGGCGGGGGCGGCCCUGGGAAGGAGGACUGGUCUCCUGGCCCCCUGCCCCUCCCCUUACUCUCCCCUGGACUUGGAUGGGCCCGAGUUGGGGGCAACACCCUGGGCAUUGGGGCUUUCCAGCUUUCACAGAACCUUCAGCAUCCCCAGCUACCAGCCUUGGCAUCUUCGAAGUAAGGAGAGUUUUAGAUGCUUCUGGAUGUUCAAUGCUAGCACCUUUGCAGACUGGAGCAGCUCGAUUUUCUUCAUAUUUACUUUCAAGAGCAAGAAAAGUGCUGGGCUCCCACUUAUUUUCUCCCUGUGGUGUUCCGGAGUUCUGCUCCAUAUCCACCAGAAAGCUGGCGGCCCACGGCUUUGGCGCAUCCAUGGCAGCAAUGGUGUCCUUCCCUCCCCAGAGGUAUCACUACUUUUUAGUGCUGGACUUUGAGGCCACGUGUGACAAGCCACAGAUUCAACCUCAGGAAAUCAUCGAGUUCCCCAUCCUGAAGCUAAAUGGCCGGACCAUGGAGAUUGAGUCUACUUUUCACAUGUAUGUCCAGCCCGUAAUCCAUCCACAGCUUACUCCCUUCUGCACAGAGCUCACCGGGAUUAUUCAAGCCAUGGUGGAUGGUCAGCCCAGCCUGCAGCAAGUGCUGGAGAGAGUCGAUGAGUGGAUGGCGAAGGAAGGCCUCUUAGAUCCAAACGUCAAGUCAAUUUUUGUCACCUGUGGAGACUGGGACUUAAAAAUCAUGCUCCCGGGCCAGUGCCAGUACUUGGGCUUGCCAGUGGCAGAUUACUUCAAGCAGUGGAUUAAUCUGAAAAAGGCUUACAGCUUCGCCAUGGGCUGCUGGCCCAAGAACGGACUUCUAGACAUGAACAAGGGCCUCAGCCUCCAGCACAUAGGCCGGCCCCACAGCGGCAUUGUAACAUGGACUGUAUCCUGAGAUACAGCAGGAAACAACUUGAUCACCAGUCGCAACAACGAGACUCCACAAUUCCCAGUAAACAAGACCGGAAGUCAGUCCAAGUGGGUGAAGUGAGUGAUGGUGGGUUUCAUCAGGUGUGCCAGCCCACGUCAUCCAUGCCAUGGAUUGUCCAUUAUACACUUUCUCACCAUUGGGUCAUCCAGAAAGCUAGCAUCCCUGUUUUCCCUUCAAGAAGAGGCAUUCCAAACAGAAGGCACGUGCAGAGACCCGGUGCAUCACCUGUUACUCCUCAUAACCCUGAAGGCGCAUCCACUGUCACCUGAGGCUCAGAGAAACCAAGCAGGGCUGUCGCCAGUGGGCAGAGUUCAGACUUUAAAUCUGUCUAACUCCAGAACCUACUUUGUCAUUUUCAGAAAACAAUGACUGCAAGAACAUUGCCAACAUCAUGAAGACACUUGCAUAUCGAGGCUUCAUCUUCAAGCAGACCUCGAAGCCGUUCUGAUUGGCCGAGAACGGGAUGGGGCAAUACAGGGUAGCUGCUUGGCCCAACCCAGAACCCUCCUCUCCCUCACCAGAGGGGAAAAGGGAGAGUGGCACAGCUCUACGUCGAGUGUCCCCAGCCUGCCCUGCGGGCUUGUGCCCUGGGUAAGAGCUUGGCCACUUGGUCCCUCUGGAGCAGAUACUUUGUGGCCUCCCAUCCCCAUCCCACAACCUCAGCCCAGUAUUAGCCCCUCCCAUUAUGGGCCUGGGCUAGGGGGACCCAGGCACUUACUGCCUCUCCCUGGUACACAGGCUUCUGCUGGGGUCACCAAGCCCCCUGUGCCCCCUCCCAUCUGUAGUGCAUGGUGUGUGGUGCCCCCAGGGCUCCAGGACAGAUCUUAUGUCCACCCCAUCCCCGCUGUGAACGUGCCACUGAAUAAAGUCGGGGAAAUGAG
Myotis myotis is the source of this 2094-nucleotide RNA transcript. It is a transcript of the gene named ERI1 exoribonuclease family member 3, with no coding region annotated. Lineage: Eukaryota; Metazoa; Chordata; Mammalia; Chiroptera; Vespertilionidae. The transcript is spliced from 11 exons. The record is from RefSeq and is a predicted model, not a curated record.